CCUGGCCAUACAUUUUAAGAAGAGUUCUGCAAACAGCCCCGACCAUUCUCUCAACCUGCCCGAGAGCUUUGAGCUCCCUUUCCUUCACCCAUUCUCUAGCAGGAAGGUAUUAUAUAACCAGACCUGAAGUUUAACACAGCCAGGUAUGUGACUGAACUUCAGGCUUGAGAGUUUGUGCACCACAGCCCUAGAGCUCCUCCAACAGAGGUGGGUACCGUGGGAAGUUUGCUGGGAAGACUCCGGUCAGCUGAUGAGUGGUUUUAGGCAGUGAGUGGAACAGACUGUUUCCAACACACAGCGGAGCCCACUCAAGCCUCAGGAAUGUUAUAACCUUUCCUCACCGGAAGUCAGGUGUUUGUCUAGCUUGACCCAGGUCAAGGCGUGCUUGGACUGAAUAGAGCCAGUCUUUUCCCCCAGCUGAGCCUAUCUGUUUUGACCCAGUCAGGGCCAGGAGUCACAGGAGAUACAGGCUGGAGGUUAAUAAUAGUGGUAGAAGGUAGAUUUCUUGUGCAAUUUGCAUUCAAUGAAGAGCCAGAAAAAGUGACUUGAUUAAUAGGAUAUCAACAUGGGUCGUGGGGAGCCAAUACCCCAGUACUUUGGAUAGAAAGCCUAUGGUUCUGAACUGAAGGAUUCUGAUGCUUUCUUCAUCAAACAGUGAGCAAUGCCAGGCACAAUUCUAAGGGCCUUACAUGUGUUAAGUCCUUCAAUCCUCACUAUUCUGUGAGGUAGGUUCUGUUAUUAUCCUUCUUUGUAUAAGCACAGAGAGGUUAACUAACUUGGUUAAAUUUCCAUGCCUAUUUAGUGAUGACUUUGCUGAAUUCAGGUUCUAGAACCUGUGAUGCUAUCCACCUUACUAGACUGCUUCUUUAAAGUUAAAUAAGGGCCUCACUCUGAAGUCACUAAUUGAGCUGUGAAAAGCAGUUUCAUUCAAGCUAGUAUUUCAUAAAGCAAGGCAGAAUGACUUUGCAAAGAACACAGGCCAAGAAACCAGAAAUUGGGACCCAAGCAUGGCCACCCACCUGAAUUCCACUCAGAUCAAUGCUCCUCUGGUUGUUUGACUUCCCGGACUUCCCUCCCCUAAGGGCACAGAGCUCUCACCAAACCUGAGAUUUCACACACAAGCGGCCUGCUUAGCAGGUACCAUCUCCACCAAAACACACAUUUGAAGAGCUGUAACCUCAGCUCCAUCUUCCUGGUAUCCUUCCUCCUUAACCUUAGAAGGUACAAAGAGGAGGGCCAGGCACAAUGGCUCAUGCUGGUAAUCCCAGCACUUUGGGAGGCCAAGGUGGGCAGAUCCCUUGAGUCCAGGAGUUCGAGACCAGCCUGGGCACAUGGUGAAAACCCAUCUCUAUAAAAAAUACAGAAAUUAGCUGGGUGCGGUGGCACAUGGCUGUAGUCCCAGCUACUUGGCAGGUAGCUGAAGUGGGAGGAUCACUUGAGCCUGGGAGGUUGAGGCUGCGGUGAGCCAAGAUUGAGCCACUGCACUCCAGCCUGGGUGACAAAGAAAGACCCUGUCGAAGAAGAAGAAGCAGCAGCAGCAGAAAAAGAAGAAGAAGAAGAAGCAGAAGAAGCAGAAGAAGAAGCAGAAGAAGAAGAAGCAGAAGAAGAAGAAGAAGAAACAAAGGGGAGGAUGCAACUUGGAGAGGCCCAGCCCCUAGGAGAAAGCCUAACUGCAGUAAAGGAGUCCUGGAGACAGGACAAGAAUGAAGUCAAUGAAGCAUAGCAGGAGUGGAGAUAAAGACGCGCAUGAAAUUUGGUGCUGUGACUCGGAUUGGGGGACCUCCCUUGGGAGAUCAAUCCCCUGUACUCCUGUUCUUUGCUCCGUGAGAAAGAUCCACCUAUGAUCUCAGGUCCUCAGACCGACCAGCCCAAGGAACAUCUCACCAAUUUUAAAUCAGACCCACCUGACCUCUCCCUUCCUCCCAGGCUGCUCCUCGCCAGGCCGAGCUAGGUCCCAAUUCUUCCUCAGCCUCUGCUCCUCCACCCUAUAAUCCUUUUAUCACCUCCCCUCCUCACACCUGGUCCGGCUUACAGUUUCGUUCCGUGACUAGCCCUCCCCCACCUGCCCAGCAAUUUACUCUUAAAAAGGUGGCUGGAGCUAAAGGCAUAGUCAAGGUUAAUGCUCCUUUCUCUUUAUCCCAAAUCAGAAGCGUUUAGGCUCUUUUUCAUCAAAUAUAAAAAUCCAGCCCAGUUCAUGGCUCGUUCGGCAGCAACCCUGAGACACUUUACAGCCCUAGACCCUAAAAGGUCAAAAGGCCGUCUUAUUCUCAAAAUACAUUUUAUUACCCAAUCUGCUCCCAACAUUAAAUAAAACUCCAAAAAUUAAAUUCCGGCCCUCAAACCCCACAACAGGAUUUAAUUAACCUCGCCUUCAAGGUGUACCAUAAUAGAAAAAAGUUGCAAUUCCUUGCCUCCACUGUGAGACAAACCCCAGCCACAUCUCCAGCACACAAGAACUUCCAAACGCCUGAACCGCAGCGGCCAGGUGUUCCCCCAGAACCUCCUCCCCCAGGAGCUUGCUACACGUGCCGGAAAUCUGGCCACUGGGCCAAGGAAUGCCCGCAGCCCGGGAUUCCUCCUAAGCCGCGUCCCAUCUGUGCGGGACCCCACUGGAAAUCGGACUGUUCGACUCACCUGGCAGCCACUCCCAGAGCCCCUGGAACUCUGGCCCAAGGCUCUCUGACUGACUCCUUCCCAGAUCUUCUCGGCUUAGCGGCUGAAGACUGACGCUGCCCGAUCGCCUCAGAAGCCCCCUAGACCAUCACCGACGCUGAGCUUCGGGUAACUCUCACAGUGGAAGGUAAGCCCGUCCCCUUCUUAAUCAAUACGGAGGCUGAGUAGCCUCCACAUUACCCUCUUUUCAAGGGCCUGUUUCCCUUGCCUCCAUAACUGUUGUGGGUAUUGACGGCCAGGCUUCUAAACCUCUUAAAACUCCCCAACUCUGGUGCCAACUUAGACAAUACUCUUUUAAGCACUCCUUUUUAGUUAUCCCCACCUGCCCAGUUCCCUUAUUAGGCUGAGACACUUUAACUAAAUUAUCUGCUUCCCUGACUAUUCCUGGACUACAGCUGUAUCUCAUUGCCGCCCUUCCUCCCAAUCCAAAGCCUCCUUUGCGUCCUCCUCUUGUAUCCCCCCACCUUAACCCACAAGUAUAAGAUACCUCUACUCCCUCCUUGGCGACCGAUCAUGCACCCCUUACCAUCUCAUUAAAACCUAAUCACUCUUACCCCACUCAACUUAAAGUGCCAAUAUCCCAUCCCGCAGCAUGCUUUAAAAAGAUUAAAGCCUGUUAUCACUCGCGUGCUACAGCAUGGCGUUUUAAAGCCUACAAACUCUCCUUACAAUUCCCCCAUUUUACCUGUCCUAAAACCAGACAAGCCUUACAAGUUAGUUCAGGAUCUGCGCCUUAUCAACCACAUUGUUUUGUUGCCUAUCCACCCCAUGGUGCCAAACCCAUAUACUCUCCUAUCCUCAAUACCUGCCUCUACAACCCAUUAUUCUGUUCUGGAUCUCAAACAUGCUUUCUUUACUAUUCCUUUGCACCCGUCAUCCCAGCCUCUCUUCGCUUUCACUUGGACUGACCCUGACACCCAUCAAGCUCAGCAAAUUACCUAGGCUGUACAGCCGCAAAGCUUCACAGACAGCCCCCAUUACUUGAAUCAAGCCCAAAUUUCUUUUUCAUCUGUUACCUAUCUCGGCAUAAUUCUCAUAAAAGCACACGUGCUCUCCCUGCCAAUCGUGUCCGACUGAUCUCUCAAACCCAAGCACCUUCUACAAAACAACUCCUUUCCUUCCUAGGCAUGGUUAGCUCAGUCAGAAUUCUCACACAAGAGCCAGGACCACACCCUGUAGCCUUUCUGUCCAAACAACUUGACCUUACUGUUUUAGCCUAGCCCUCAUGUCUGCGUGCAGUGGCUGCCGCUGCUUUAAUACUUUUAGAGGCCCUCAAAAUAGGUAGAGGCCUUUCCUGCAGGGUCUGAGAAGGCCACCGCAGUCAUUUCUUCCAUUCUGUCAGACAUAAUUCCUCAGUUUAGCCUUCCCACCUCAAUACAGUCUGAUAACAGACGAGCCUUUAUUAGUCAAAUCAGCCAAGCAGUUUUUCAGGCUCUUAGUAUUCAGUGAAAGCUUUAUAUCCCUUACGGUCCUCCGUCUUCAAGAAAAGUAGAAUGGACUAAAGGUCUUUUAAAAACACACCUCACCAAGCUCAGCCACCAACUUAAAAAGGACUGGACAAUACUUUUACCACUUUCCCUUCUCAGAAUUCAGGCCUAUCCUCAGAAUGCUACAGGGUACAGCCCAUUUAAGCUCCUGUAUAGACGCUCCUUUUUAUUAGGCCCCAGUCUCAUUCCAGACACCAGACCAACUUAGACUGUGCCUCAAAGAAAAAAAAAAAUUGUCAUCCCUACUAUUUUCUGUCUGGUCAUACUCCUAUUCACCGUUCUCAACUACUCAUACAUGCCCUGCUCUUGUUUACACUGCCAGUUUACACUGUUUUUCCAAGCCAUCACAGCUGAUAUCUCCUGGUGCUAUCCCCAAACUGCCACUCUUAACUCUUGAAGUAAAUAAAUCAUCUUUGCUGGCAGGACUAUGCUGAAUCUCCUUAGGCACUCUCUAAUCAGACAUCCUGAGUCGUCCCAAUUCUUAGACCUUUUAUACCUGUUUUUCUCCUUCUGUUAUUCCAUUUAGUUUUUCAAUUCAUACAAAACCGUAUCCAGGCCAUCACCAAUCAUUCUAUAUGACAAAUGUUUCUUCUAACAUCCCCACAAUCUCACCCCUUACCACAAG
This 4785-nucleotide long non-coding RNA is filed under the name Homo sapiens (human). Its description in RNAcentral is "HSALNT0184447". Lineage: Eukaryota; Metazoa; Chordata; Mammalia; Primates; Hominidae. The record is from RNAcentral.